RNAcentral lists this unclassified non-coding RNA (376 nucleotides) under uncultured Acidimicrobiia bacterium. RNAcentral describes it as "contains 16S-23S intergenic spacer region". Lineage: Bacteria; Bacillati; Actinomycetota; Acidimicrobiia. The record is from RNAcentral.
UCCGGUUUGUCACCGGCAGUCUCCCUAGAGUGCCCAACUUAAUGCUGGCAACUAGGGACAAGGGUUGCGCUCGUUGCGCCACUUAAGGCAACACCUCACGGCACGAGCUGACGACAGCCAUGCACCACCUGUCACGGGCCCUUACGGACACUGUAUUUCUACAGCUUUUCCCGUGAUGUCAAACCCAGGUAAGGUUCUUCGGGUUGCAUCGAAUUAAGCCGCAUGCUCCGCCGCUUGUGCGGGGACCCGUCAAUUCCUUUGAGUUUUAGCCUUGCGGCCAUACUCCCCAGGCGGGAUACUUAAUGCGUUAGCUUCGGCACGGCAGUCAUUGGUAUAACCGCCACACCUAGUAUCCAACGUUUACGGCGUGGACUAC